GAUUUAGUCACUAUGACAUGCUACUGAUUGGUUAAAACAGAACAAAAAUUUGAAACCUUUUGUGAGAUAGGCAAAUAUUUUCACCUGUCAACUACAUACUUACAUUGAAAUCACUGCAUGUGUCAGCAUUUGGGGAAGUAAUAAAACUCUCUUAUCAAUGUACAAUUGCCUCUGACAAUUUCAUUUUUGGAUAUUAAGAAGCUUAUUGAUUUCAAUAAACGAGUUCAUUGAAUUGUAAAUAGAUGUUUAUAACCAGCAUUGCCAUAUCAAUAAUUCUAUUAUAAGUUCAUAGUUUAACUUCAUAUUUGAAUAAAAACAAUGAGUUCUUAAGCUUAACUAAAUUAGAUUUAAUGUUAGUAUUCACGUGACUCAAACUCUUUUGAAUAAAAUUACACAUGACACAGAUGAAAAGAUUAUCUUUUAACUCUUUAUCAUUGAUUAUUUCAACACAAAUGUGGUAACUUCAGGAUAGUUCUCCAGGUGGGCUCAGACUGGCCCAGCUCUCCCCAGUUUCUCACUUGCAGUUCUCAAGAAUAACUGUAGAAUACUCGAAAAAUCCCACAUCCUGAGAUAAGGCGAAACUGGCUAGAAGAGCUCACUCUCUGUUCUAAUACCUCUCCCGGCGCCGUCUCCUAGAUACAGGAUUUCCUUCAGUGCUUUAGUCCAGAGCUUCGCAUCGUCCAUGAUGUAAAACCCGGGCAGGUUGCUUUUCCGGGUCCUUCAGUUGCAGUGCGAGUGCCGCAUGCGCAGAGGAGACUCCAUCCGCCAUGGGCCGGUUUCCUGAGACUUGGACCGGCUGGCAAUGAAUCCUAGGCUCCUGUGUCCCUUGUUACCUAUCUGUAAGGAAACCGCUUCGUGCAGCUUGUAAUGUGUGUAGGCGUCUGUCUUACCAAACUCAAGACAACUUGGUAACCAGCACACAAUACUGGUUUAUAGUAACCACUAACUUCCUCAGAAGCAGCAAACUUUUAGAGUUUUUCAAUUUAAUUAUGGUUAUAUGA
This 1001-nucleotide long non-coding RNA is filed under the name Macaca mulatta (Rhesus monkey). Its description in RNAcentral is "lncRNA (ENSMMUG00000056234.1)". The record is from RNAcentral. Lineage: Eukaryota; Metazoa; Chordata; Mammalia; Primates; Cercopithecidae.